This 81-nucleotide transfer RNA is filed under the name Synechococcaceae cyanobacterium SM2_3_1. Its description in RNAcentral is "tRNA-Leu". It matches the Rfam family "tRNA". Rfam says of the family: Transfer RNA (tRNA) molecules are approximately 80 nucleotides in length. Lineage: Bacteria; Bacillati; Cyanobacteriota; Cyanophyceae; Synechococcales; Synechococcaceae. The record is from RNAcentral.
GCGGACGUGGCGGAAUUGGUAGACGCGCUAGAUUUAGGCUCUAGUGACCUAGUCGUGUGAGUUCGAGUCUCACCGUCCGCA